Molecule: small nucleolar RNA, 306 nt
Filed under: Trichophyton rubrum BMU01672
Lineage: Eukaryota; Fungi; Ascomycota; Eurotiomycetes; Onygenales; Arthrodermataceae
Description: CD-box snoRNA
Source: RNAcentral
AGCUCAUAGAGCGUGGCAUCCGUGAUAGUUAGUGGGCGGAGGAAACUAUCAAUUGUUCGGCAGUAAUGCUCGUCGUCGUCUGAAGACGAGAGAACCGACAUGGCCGUACAAAUCAUAAAAGAGUCUCAGUCAGUUAUUUAAGGGCUGAAAAGAAGAAGACCUGAUAGAUAUAUUUCAGUAAAUCUGCAUCCAUCGAAGAAACGAAGAAUCGUCUUCGUUGGCCAUAAAUAACAGAACGAACCGGUUGGUGAACCCAGGGUCUCACGCCCAAUACAACUCCAUCACCCCCUAACCAGCGCAUCUCCG